Molecule: ribosomal RNA, 442 nt
Filed under: uncultured bacterium
Lineage: Bacteria
Description: partial 16S ribosomal RNA
Rfam family: Bacterial small subunit ribosomal RNA
Source: RNAcentral
CCUACGGGAGGCAGCAGUGGGGAAUAUUGCGCAAUGGGCGAAAGCCUGACGCAGCGACGCCGCGUGAGGGAUGAAGGCUUUCGGGUUGUAAACUUCUUUUAAGAGGGAAGAGCAGAAGACGGUACCUCUUGAAUAAGCCACGGCUAACUACGUGCCAGCAGCCGCGGUAAUACGUAGGUGGCAAGCGUUGUCCGGAUUUACUGGGUGUAAAGGGCGUGUAGCCGGGCUGACAAGUCAGAUGUGAAAUCCGGGGGCUCAACCCCCGAACUGCAUUUGAAACUGUUGGUCUUGAGUAUCGGAGAGGCAGGCGGAAUUCCUAGUGUAGCGGUGAAAUGCGUAGAUAUUAGGAGGAACACCAGUGGCGAAGGCGGCCUGCUGGACGACAACUGACGGUGAGGCGCGAAAGCGUGGGGAGCAAACAGGAUUAGAUACCCCUGUAGUC